RNAcentral lists this ribosomal RNA (253 nucleotides) under uncultured bacterium. RNAcentral's name for it is "partial 16S ribosomal RNA". It matches the Rfam family "Bacterial small subunit ribosomal RNA", at positions 524 to 776 of the family's 1533-position model. The record is from RNAcentral.
UACGAAGGGGGCUAGCGUUGCUCGGAAUCACUGGGUGUAAAGCGCGUGUAGGCGGCCUGCCAAGUCUGCUGUGAAAGCGCCUGGCUUAACCGGGCGAGGUCGGUGGAAACUGGCGGGCUGGAGGUCGGUAGAGGGGGGUGGAAUUCCCGGUGUAGUGGUGAAAUGCGUAGAGAUCGGGAGGAACACCAGUGGCGAAGGCGGCCCCCUGGGCCGUACCUGACGCUGAGACGCGAAAGCGCGGGGAGCGAACGGG